AAGUCGUAACAAGGUAACCGUAGGUGAACCUGCGGUUGGAUCAUUUCCGAUCUGUGCCCCGACAAGGGGCCGAUCUACAACUGCGCACGGUAAUUCGUGUUUGGCAGUCUAAGGGAGGGACGAGAUCCGCGUCGCGGGUCUCCACCUUCCGGGACUCUUGUCCGGGCUGCCGCGUAACUAGACCACUGUCAGUUUUGGCUGAUCGUCACUCUGUGAUAAAUCUGAAACAACUUUCGACAAUGGAUCUCUUGGCUCUC
Molecule: unclassified non-coding RNA, 257 nt
Filed under: fungal sp.
Lineage: Eukaryota; Fungi
Description: partial internal transcribed spacer region
Rfam family: Eukaryotic small subunit ribosomal RNA (bases 1-46)
Source: RNAcentral